GACGAACGCUGGCGGCGUGCUUAACACAUGCAAGUCGAACGGAAAGGCCCUGCUUUUGUGGGUUGCUCGAUUGGCGAACGGGUGAGUAACACGUGAGUAACCUGCCCUUGACUUUGGGAUAACUUCAGGAAACUGGGGCUAAUACCGGAUAGGAGCUCCUGCUGCAUGGUGGGGGUUGGAAAGUUUCGGCGGUUGGGGAUGGACUCGCGGCUUAUCAGCUUGUUGGUGGGGUAGUGGCUUACCAAGGCUUUGACGGGUAGCCGGCCUGAGAGGGUGACCGGCCACAUUGGGACUGAGAUACGGACCAGACGCCUACGGGAGGCAGAAGGGGGGAAUAUUGCACAAUGGGCGGAAGCCUGAGGCAGCAACGCCGCGUGCGGGAUGACGGCCUUCGGGUUGUAAACAGCUUUCGCCUGUGACGAAGAGUGAGUGACGGUAAUGGGUAAAGAAGCACCGGCUAACUACGUG
RNAcentral lists this ribosomal RNA (468 nucleotides) under uncultured bacterium. RNAcentral describes it as "partial 16S ribosomal RNA". It matches the Rfam family "Bacterial small subunit ribosomal RNA", at positions 28 to 507 of the family's 1533-position model. The record is from RNAcentral.